UCAUUUCCCAACCAACUUGCCAUCAGACA
Molecule: non-coding RNA, 29 nt
Filed under: Mus musculus (house mouse)
Lineage: Eukaryota; Metazoa; Chordata; Mammalia; Rodentia; Muridae
Source: RNAcentral